UGGGGAAUAUUGGACAAUGGGCGAAAGCCUGAUCCAGCCAUGCCGCGUGAGUGAUGAAGGCCUUAGGGUUGUAAUGCUCUUUUUGGCGGGGAAGAUAAUGACGGUACCCGCAGAAUAAGCCCCGGCUAACUUCGUGCCAGCAGCCGCGGUAAUACGAAGGGGGCUAGCGUUGUUCGGAAUUACUGGGCGUAAAGCGCACGUAGGCGGAUUGACAAGUCAGGGGUGAAAUCCCGGGGCUCAACCUCGGAACUGCCUCUGAUACUGUCAGUCUAGAGUCCGGAAGAGGUGGGUGGAAUUCCUAGUGUAGAGGUGAAAUUCGCAGAUAUUAGGAAGAACACCGGUGGCGAAGGCGGCCCACUGGUCCGGUACUGACGCUGAGGUGCGAAAGCGUGGGGAGCAAACAGGAUUAGAUACCCUCGUAGUCCCUGAGCGGGCUGGCAAGGCGCAU
This 448-nucleotide ribosomal RNA is filed under the name uncultured bacterium. RNAcentral describes it as "bacterial SSU rRNA". It matches the Rfam family "Bacterial small subunit ribosomal RNA", at positions 355 to 825 of the family's 1533-position model. The record is from RNAcentral.